This 506-nucleotide ribosomal RNA is filed under the name uncultured bacterium. RNAcentral's name for it is "partial 16S ribosomal RNA". It matches the Rfam family "Bacterial small subunit ribosomal RNA", at positions 28 to 523 of the family's 1533-position model. The record is from RNAcentral.
GAUGAACGCUAGCUACAGGCUUAACACAUGCAAGUCGAGGGGUAACAAGAGAAAAGCUUGCUUUUCUUGUUGACGACCGGCGCACGGGUGAGUAACGCGUAUCCAACCUGCCUAUAACUAGGGAAUAACCUUGCGAAAGUAAGACUAAUACCCUAUGAUUUCCUUUGAUGACAUCAGAUUAGGAAUAAAGAUUUAUCGGUUAUAGAUGGGGAUGCGUCUGAUUAGCUGGUUGGCGGGGUAACGGCCCACCAAGGCAACGAUCAGUAGGGGUUUUGAGACGAAGGUCCCCCACAUUAGAACUGAGACACGGUCCAAACUCCUACGGGAGGCAGCAGUGAGGAAUAUUGGUCAAUGGGCGGAAGCCUGAACCAGCCAAGUAGCGUGCAGGAUGACGGCCCUAUGGGUUGUAAACUGCUUUUAUACAGGAGUAAAGUUAGCCACGUGUGGUUAUUUGUAGGUACUGUAUGAAUAAGGACCGGCUAAUUCCGUGCCAGCCGCCGCAGUAA